RNAcentral lists this ribosomal RNA (446 nucleotides) under uncultured bacterium. Its description in RNAcentral is "partial 16S ribosomal RNA". It matches the Rfam family "Bacterial small subunit ribosomal RNA", at positions 338 to 795 of the family's 1533-position model. The record is from RNAcentral.
CCUACGGGAGGCAGCAGUCGAGAAUCAUUCACAAUGGGGGAAACCCUGAUGGUGCGACGCCGCGUGGGGGAAUGAAGGUCUUCGGAUUGUAAACCCCUGUCAUGUGGGAGCAAAUUAAAAAGAUAGUACCACAAGAGGAAGAGACGGCUAACUCUGUGCCAGCAGCCGCGGUAAUACAGAGGUCUCAAGCGUUGUUCGGAAUCACUGGGCGUAAAGCGUGCGUAGGCUGUUUCGUAAGUCGUGUGUGAAAGGCGCGGGCUCAACCCGCGGACGGCACAUGAUACUGCGAGAUUAGAGUAAGGGAGGGGGAACCGGAAUUCUCGGUGUAGCAGUGAAAUGCGUAGAUAUCGAGAGGAACACUCGUGGCGAAGGCGGGUUCCUGGACAUUAACUGACGCUGAGGCACGAAGGCCAGGGGAGCGAAAGGGAUUAGAUACCCGAGUAGUC